UGAAACAAAGAGAAGUUUGCAGUGAGGUAGAAUAAAGCCUGCGAACAAGAAAGGAACUCAAAGGACUCUCUGAUGUCAACACUUUCCCUCCCCUACUCUUGAUAUCGAUCUGGCCAGCUCUAAGAGAAGAUUUCAUGGUGUGCAUCAAGCACGUGCACACCUGGAGCUGCUGUUUUGCCUCAGCCAGGCAGAACGUGACAGUUUUGGGAAGACUGCUGCAGAGUAACAGGGGUGUUUACA
Long non-coding RNA from Nothoprocta perdicaria, 240 nucleotides. RefSeq lists it as uncharacterized. The record is from RefSeq and is a predicted model, not a curated record. NCBI's taxonomy places the organism in Eukaryota, Metazoa, Chordata, Aves, Tinamiformes, Tinamidae. The transcript has 2 exons.